RNAcentral lists this ribosomal RNA (177 nucleotides) under uncultured Streptococcus sp. Its description in RNAcentral is "partial 16S ribosomal RNA". It matches the Rfam family "Bacterial small subunit ribosomal RNA", at positions 1206 to 1382 of the family's 1533-position model. Lineage: Bacteria; Bacillati; Bacillota; Bacilli; Lactobacillales; Streptococcaceae. The record is from RNAcentral.
ACCGAGGGCUACACACGUACUACAAUGGUUGGUACAACGAGUUGCGAGUCGGUGACGGCGAGCUAAUCUCUUAAAGCCAAUCUCAGUUCGGAUUGUAGGCUGCAACUCGCCUACAUGAAGUCGGAAUCGCCAGUAAUCGCGGAUCAGCACGCCGCGGUGAAUACGUUCCCGGGCCUU